Long non-coding RNA from Gallus gallus (chicken), 435 nucleotides. NCBI's taxonomy places the organism in Eukaryota, Metazoa, Chordata, Aves, Galliformes, Phasianidae. The record is from Ensembl.
GAGAAAUGGAACGCAAGAACUGGGGAAAAAAUAAGCUGGGAGGUCAGACCUGGGCUGGAGUGCCUACGUGUAGCCAUAGGAGUAUAUUUAACGGAGUGAUAACUCAGACUUUGAAAGAAAAAAAGGGACCAACGCACUGAUCGGCUGUUCCCUAUGACUGCAGUGUGUCAGCACUCAAGCUGGGAAAGUUUGAGGGCACGUGUUUCCUAUCCCUCUGCCUAUGGACCUAAGAGCAGAGACUGAUAGGGAUCGAUAUUCAGAAAGGAGCGCAGUUUGGCAGAGGAUGCCAAAGGAGCCUGCUGAGCGUGGCCACAGAUGAUCCCAGCUGAGCGUGGCCACUCACAAACUGAAGAGAACCUCUGUGCUGUGUCAUCAAUUGGAGCUGCAAUAAAUGAUCCUAUAUCAAGCACUGUGCUUUUCAUUCCUCAAAAUGAC